UUCCUCUCUCUCUCUCUCUUUUCUUUUUUGUUGAGCACCAAUAAUGUUUUCAAGUUGACCUGGGCAUCAACAGAAAUUUGACAAUUUGAAGUAUGGUGAAAUCUCCAAGCAAAUAAAGCUCAGAUUAAUUCAUGCCCAGUAAUAAUUCUUAUCGAAGACGAAGUCGAGAGAGCCAUUGGCUCAUUGCGUGGAGUAGAUGUGAGUGGUGACUGAUAAUUAGAAACACUUGUACGCCCAAAUCCCGUAUUUAUUUUGUGAAGAAAGAACAAAAAAAGAGAUGGCUUUAAGGUUGAUGAUGAAGCCACCACUGUCAUCUUCCAAAGGCUUGCUCUUCUUCUACUUGGUUGUUUUGUUUUCAUGCAGCCAAUCCGUUAAUGCCCAGACUAACCAGACUAACGCCACAACCGAUCCUUCUGAAGUCAAUCCAUUACUGCCCAGACUAACGCCACCACCGAUCCUUCCGAAGGAUUUCAAGACCAUUUCUUCUUGAAAUUUCGGUGGGAAACAGCCAUGGAAGAGGGUUUGGAGCUGGUAUUCCAUAUUUUGGCUUCAAGUAAGUUUAAUUCUUGCUUUUUCCUUGAAAUUUUUAUAUUUUUGGACUUUUACAAUUAGGUCUAACUUAGUAUUCUACUAGUUUCUCAUUUUGUUGAAAGUUUUGGAAGAUACCAAUGAUAAGUUCAUAUGAUUUUUAUUAUUUUA
Molecule: long non-coding RNA, 699 nt
Organism: Gossypium raimondii (Peruvian cotton)
Lineage: Eukaryota; Viridiplantae; Streptophyta; Magnoliopsida; Malvales; Malvaceae
Exons: 3
Source: RefSeq, a predicted model, not a curated record